RNA transcript from Sapajus apella (tufted capuchin), 5813 nucleotides. It is a transcript of the gene named serine-threonine kinase receptor-associated protein-like, with no coding region annotated. Lineage: Eukaryota; Metazoa; Chordata; Mammalia; Primates; Cebidae. The record is from RefSeq and is a predicted model, not a curated record. The transcript is spliced from 2 exons.
UGUUCUACAUCCAGUCAUCCAUUGAUGGACACUUAGUUGAUUGCAUAUCUGUCUGAAGUGUGAAGGCAGGAGAACACUCCUAACAGAGUUAAGAGCAGAGCUCUUACCACAGUAGGCACAGUGUUAAACUCAACAUUUAUCAUCACAUUGCAUAUUCACAAGUGUUGAAGAAAAUUCAAUUAUUUUUCAUAUUUUGUAGAUGAGAAAACAGAUGCUAAGAGGGCAGUGGCUUGCCCAAGCCUGUGCAGCUUAGGCAUCUGCUGCUGUGCACCUGUUCUUAAACACAUAGUUAUCUGCAUUAGGAAGGGUUUCCAUGGCCAACCUUGUUCUUUGCAAUUCUUGUGCUAGGUAACUGACAUCUCCAGGAACGACCAAUUCCGUAUAGCAAAAACUCCAGCAAGAUGUCUGAGGUAACUUGCUCAGAACUGGCAAGGCCUUUUUUAACUCAUGGUUUUCCUAACAUAUGUAUUCCCAGCACACAUGUUCCUGUCAAUAUACUCUUGAUACAUAUAAUGUAACAGAACCAUUUUUCCUGCCUAACUGACCACCUGCUACCCAAAGGUUGUUUAUAGAGACAUCUACUUCUACCUCUGCGACAUGGUGGUAACAGUACAGACUUUCAAGGUGGUUCUGAGCAUGAAUCCUGGCCACUGACAUAUUACCUUGAGUUUCAGAUGUAAUAGGACCAAGCUCAGCCAGCACUGAGUCACAGGGUAUGAUCAUGCAGUUCAGGCCUGUGAGGCUGCAGGGAAAGCAGGGCAUCCUAGUGCAGAGCUGGCUCACCCUGAGGUGUGACUGCGUAAAAACUAAAAGCCACAUGCCAAUCAUUGUAGGUCAGGCCAUGGAGGGUGCGAAGUCCUCUAAACUGAACCUAUGGAGUCUCAUGGUCCCUUGAAUACUGCUGUGAAAGCAUCCUGCACCACCAGCACCUGGGAAUACUGCCAGGGAAGAGGCCUCUGCGCCCAUGCUCUUCAGCAACAGUUCCAGCGUGGAGCUUUGCCUCCCAUUCCCCCUGCUUCCCACUGGCAUCAUCCCUCUUUUGUCCAUGCCUAUGAAGUGACUUAUUCCAGGACCUCCUCCACUCCCACCACCCUGUGCUGGGGCUGAGUGAGAGAAUCAGAAGUGCUUUAAUGAGAAGAGAUAGAGAUAUGGAUGCAAUACCGGUUCUGAAGAAUUCCAACACUGAGGCAAGAUGGUGCGCUUGUACCUAAGGCUGCUGGAGGAACAGGGAACUGGGACUCUGCCUGCUUCUGUGCCUUGGGUUCAGCUUGCCCAGGGUACAGUCUGCUCAGCCAUCAGUACCCCUCUGUUGUGAGGAGUGUUCCGAGAUAGGCCUGCACCGGACGUUAGCAAGCAUCUGGAUCCCUGGACGGCUAAUAGAAAGAAGUUGGUCUCUUGAAGAAGGUUCAACUUGACUUCUGGACUCCUGGCUAUUUUCAGAAAAUGUUUUCUGGAACUUCAUUCUAGGGAUUAAAGGAAACAAAUGACCUAAGUUCUAAAACCUGCUUAAUUAAUGUGCUCUAUAUCUGGAAAUGAUUCAAAUGUUUGUCAAUCGGUGAUUGGAUAAACAAACAGUGGGAAAUCCAUACAAUAAAAUACUUAAAAAGGAAUGAACUAUUACUAUUAUUAUAUGUAAUAGCAUGAACAAACCUCAAAAUAAUUAUGCUGAGUGAAGAAGUCAGAUGAAAAAGGGGCCAUACUGCAUGAUUCCAUUCAUAUAAAUAUUUAGAAAACACAGCCUAUAAUGACAGAAGACAUGUGAGUGGUUGUCUGAGGUUGGGGGUAUGGGCCAGGGAGAGGUGAGAGGGAAGAUUCAAAAAGGGACAUCAGGGAACCUUUGGGGUGAUUGGUAUGUUCAUUAUUGAUUGUGGCAAUGGUUUCAUGGGUAUAUACAUAUGUAAAACCACCAAAGUGUACAUGUUGAAUAUAUGUAGCCUAUUGCACAUCAGUAAUAUGUCAAUAAACCUGCAAAAAAUAUAAUAUAUACAAAAUACUUAGCAGUGUUCCUGGCAUGCAGUCUGUGCUUGAUAAAUAGCCAUUCUGCCGUUUACACACUUGGCCUUACUCUCACCUACUUUAGUGAGAACAGGAACUGAAGACAUGGAGACCCCGAUCCUAUGAUGUAUCUCAAGUGGACUCUGCCCAAAAGCUGAGGAAAGCUCUGUGUGCAUCAGAACUGAGCCAGUACAGAAGAGAUUCAGAAAUUGGUUUAGGAACACCUUCCAACCAAGUGACACUUCCCAAAACUCAUGUUAUAACAUCAGUAUUAUAGGAGAAAAAAAAAUCUCCUUGAAAUAUAUUUCUGAUAAUGCCUGUAAUUCUGAAAACACCUUUUGGCCUUUUUGCUUACCUGGUCUAGACUGACGAAUUGUUUUGAUUUAGUAUCAAAACAAUUGAUUCUAAACUGUCAUUGCCCAGGUAUAGACAGCUCACCGCUCACCCUAUGGCAAGAGGACUCUUCCUUCUGGAUUUCUGCAACCCUGGGCUCUAGGUUUGGUUGAGUACUGCGAUCAAGCUUCCCUCACAGUCUGAGUUCAUCUCUGCUGAGUUCAACAAACUUUCAUUCCAAGGAUUCAUUCAUUUCACUCUCCUUCAUAAACAUUGAAAAUUUCAGAAUGUCCCUUGGCCAUCCUGUCAUUGCUCAUAUAUGAAUUAGGUGGUUGCUUCUUUGGAGAGUCUGAGAGACUCAAGGAAGCCCACCUUGAUAUGACAAAAUUCCCACUGCACCCCAAAUGAUUAUUUUUUCAAUUAAAUAUUGACUUUAAUAUUUAAAAUAAUUUAUUUCUAGAGAGGAAAAAAGGGAGAAUAAUUAUAUUGGAUCAGAACAUAAAACAUCAACAAGGGGACAUUUUUCUGAAAGAUAAGAUUCACCAACUUUACCAUUUGGGGCCAAUGCCUCCCAUUCCCUCUCAAAGGCCCAGCAUUGGUAACCUUUGCAUUUGUGUCAGCAAAAUCCAGAGAGGGUGCUUUAGCCUGCUCUGAGGAUCAGGCACCUAACACUCUAAACAAAUGUAUUGUCAAUGCCCUGUAUAAAAAGGGAAAUUUCAGCUGCUAUUUUAAAUAGGUGAAAGCCAAUUUGAGACUUCACUAAUUUGAAAUUUUCUGAUUUUCUUGGCCCCUGAGUUCAGUCUCUUGGUUACUGGACAAACUCUUUUUGUUUGACUGGUUUGUUUUGGUUCUUGUUUUGUUAUUUUUCUGAGCCUCUAUCUACCUGCCCUCUAAUCACACAGGAGCUCUAAGGUUUAAUGUAGUUUCAUACAGAAGUAUCACAAAACUGAUCAAGGAAGGAGUAGUUAUAAAAACAGAAACCCGAAACAGUGAGGAGGACUGUGGCUGGGUUCUUGGGGUCAGGCUGGAGAGAUGGGAGUCCGCUAGCUUCUUGGCCUCCAAUGGCAAUGUUGCUUUUUCUUCCAGGCCAGGCGCCUGACUCAGGGACUUCACCUACACCUGCAUGUCACACUUGGAAUCAGUGCCCAUUCAGACUCCAGGAAGUCUUAGGUGAGGAUGAGGGACUGGCCUGUCUUUAGGAGGGGCCAUACCACAUACACCUCUGUUUGGGGCUUCUGGUAAUUCAGAAAGCCAGAGAUGUGGGGGUUUGCACCCACCUCAGAAGUAACACAGGAGAAGGGAAGGGAGUGUAUGCAGAAGUGUCCCCAAAGCCCAUUAGUCAGGUGAUUGAUGGCUGACCCUGGGCAAAAGGGCAAAGUCAGCAAAAUGCAACUUUUAUUCUACAAGUGUUCAUUGAGCAACUAUUGUACACCAAGCACCACAAUAAGCUGUGGAAAAUAUUGGUGAACAGGAAACAAGAACUUACUACUUGGCAAGAGAGAUUUUAACUCAAACAUCAGACUCUAAGCCAGUGGUCUCCCUGCCAUGAGGGUCCCCUUCUCCCUGUGAUCAGACUUCUAAGUACAUUUUUGUUCUUUAACAAUAGAAUCCUGUUUCUUCUAAAUCCUUUAUUCUUUGGCAUCCCUAUUACUUCAGUACUUUAAGAUACUCACUUUCUUCCUUUCCCUCUGUCACAGACUCCCUGACUCCUCCUUCGCCCCUUUCUAACCUCAGUGCCACCAGAUUGCCCUCCUUUUCCUGUUUCCCAGCCCAACCCCAAUAUCAGAGUGGGGCCUGAAGGAGCCCGAGGCACUGCAGCAGAGGAGAGAAAUGACAACAACUCUAAGCUCGCCAGUGUGGAUGCUGGGUUCACCCGGCCAUGGCAAUGAGACAGACACUGCUCACCUGCUCUGGCCACAUGCAGCCUGUGGUUGAUUUGGCCCUCAGUGGCACCACACCUUAUGGCCACCGCACCCAGCCACGUUAUGGGUAUUUCUUAAUCAGCGCUUGCAAAGAUGAUAAACCUAUGCCACACCAGGGAGAUACAGGAGACUGGAUUGGAACAUUUUUGCAUCGUAAAGGUGCUGUUUAGGGUGCACCACUGAAUAAAGAUGCCACCAAAGCAGCUACAGCAGCUGCAGAUUUCAGAGCCAAAGUGUGGGAUGCCGUCUCAGGAGAUGAAUCGAUGACCCUGGUUCUAAACACCUUGUCAAGACUGUGGAUUUCAAGUAGGAUAGUCAUUAUUUGUUAACUGUGGGACAGGACAAACUGUAUGCAUGUAUGACUUGAACAAAUCCGAAGCAGAACCUAAGGAAAUGAGUGGUCACACUCCUCAUAUUAAAAAGGCUCUAUGGUGCAGUGAGGAUAAACAGAUUCUUUCUGCUGAGGACAAAACUUCGACGUUGGGAUCAUGCUACUAUGACAGAAGUGAAAUCUCUAAAUUUUAAUAUGUCUGUUAGUAGCAUGGAAUAUAUUCCUGAGGGAGAGAUUUCAGUUGUAACUUAUGUACAAUCUAUUGUUUUUCAUAGUGCAGUAAGUUUGGACCCACUGAAACCUUUUGAAGCUCCUGCAAACAUCAAUUCUGCAUCUCUUCAUCCUGAGAAAAAAUUUCUUGUUGCAGGUGAUGAAGAUUUUAAACUUUAUAAGUAUGAUCAUAAUAGUGGAGAAGAAUUAGAAUCCUACAAGGAACACUUCAGUCCUAUUCACUGUGUGAGAUUUAGUCCUGAUGGAGAACUCUGUGCCUGUGGUUCUGAAGAUGGAACAUUGAGACUAUGGCAAACGCUGGUAGGAGAACCAUAUGGCCUGGAAAUGUCUGCUUCCUGAAGAAGACAGUGGUGAGCUGCAAAGCCCAAGAUUGGUUUUCCAGAGACAACAGAAGAGGAACUCGAAGAAACUGCUUCAGAGAAUUCAGAUUGCAUCUAUUCUUCAACUCCUGAUGUUAAGGCCUGAGAGUCAAUCACACGCCGCAGUUGGCAUAAAACUGCAGACUAAAACGAGCAAGCAGAGAAAAGCAUCAGCCUUCCAGACUUACUCUCCGCUUAAGGCAGAAAGAGCAGUAAAUAAUGAGGAAAAUGAAUUCGCUCCGGUGCUAGAACAACGAACUUGGUGCUACUGAGAACUCAGGAGUAUCUGAUGAAGGAAGGUGGAGUGGCCCUCCUGUAGCACGGCGGCCUGUCAUCUUUUUAGUGAACAUAUACAAGCCAACAUCCAAUUUCUCUUACUACAGUUAGGGUUCUUGUAGCUGUUUAUGUUAUUAUGGAGAAAAUAUAUUGGCUUAUUUUUCUGACUUUUUUCCUUAAGGCAGAAGGCCUGUUUUUUGUUUUGUUUUGUUUGUUUUUUGCUUUAGUUGUAAAGAAGGGGGAAUACACAGUAAAGUAACUGGUUUAAUUUCUCUUUCAUUGUAUAUUGCUUCUAAUUGUUUUUAGUUGUCUAAAUGAAAUCCCUCUAAAACAAAUAAAAACACUCCAUUUACUGGGGAAAAGAAA